CGGCGCACGGGUGAGUAACACGUAUCCAACCUGCCGUCUACUCUUGGACAGCCUUCUGAAAGGAAGAUUAAUACAAGAUGGCAUCAUGAGUCCGCAUGUUCACAUGAUUAAAGGUAUUCCGGUAGACGAUGGGGAUGCGUUCCAUUAGAUAGUAGGCGGGGUAACGGCCCACCUAGUCUUCGAUGGAUAGGGGUUCUGAGAGGAAGGUCCCCCACAUUGGAACUGAGACACGGUCCAAACUCCUACGGGAGGCAGCAGUGAGGAAUAUUGGUCAAUGGGCGAGAGCCUGAACCAGCCAAGUAGCGUGAAGGAUGACUGCCCUAUGGGUUGUAAACUUCUUUUAUAAAGGAAUAAAGUCGGGUAUGUAUACCCGUUUGCAUGUACUUUAUGAAUAAGGAUCGGCUAACUCCGUGCCAGCAGCCGCGGUAAUACGGAGGAUCCGAGCGUCAUCCGGAUUUAUUGGGUUUAAAGGGAGCGUAGAUGGAUGUUUAAGUCAGUUGUGAAAGUUUGCGGCUCAACCGUAAAAUUGCAGUUGAUACUGGAUAUCUUGAGUGCAGUUGAGGCAGGCGGAAUUCGUGGUGUAGCCGGUGAAAUGCCUAGAUAUCACGAGGAACUCCGAUUGCGAAGGCAGCCU
RNAcentral lists this ribosomal RNA (634 nucleotides) under uncultured Bacteroidales bacterium. Its description in RNAcentral is "bacterial SSU rRNA". It matches the Rfam family "Bacterial small subunit ribosomal RNA", at positions 96 to 727 of the family's 1533-position model. Lineage: Bacteria; Pseudomonadati; Bacteroidota; Bacteroidia; Bacteroidales. The record is from RNAcentral.